Molecule: ribosomal RNA, 239 nt
Filed under: uncultured bacterium
Lineage: Bacteria
Description: partial 16S ribosomal RNA
Rfam family: Bacterial small subunit ribosomal RNA
Source: RNAcentral
UACGGAGGAUCCAAGCGUUAUCCGGAUUCAUUGGGUUUAAAGGGUCCGUAGGCGGAUUUUUAAGUCAGUGGUGAAAGCCGACAGCUCAACUGUCGAACUGCCAUUGAUACUGGAAAUCUUGAGUACAAAUGAAGUAGGCGGAAUGAGUCAUGUAGCGGUGAAAUGCAUAGAUAUGACUCAGAACACCGAUUGCGAAGGCAGCUUACUAACAUGUAACUGACGCUGAGGGACGAAAGCGU